AUCGUAACUCCUACGGGAGGCAGCAGUGGGGAAUUUUGGACAAUGGGCGCAAGCCUGAUCCAGCAAUGCCGCGUGAGUGAAGAAGGCCUUCGGGUUGUAAAGCUCUUUUGUCAGGGAAGAAACGGUAGGAGCUAAUAUCUCUUGCUAAUGACGGUACCUGAAGAAUAAGCACCGGCUAACUACGUGCCAGCAGCCGCGGUAAUACGUAGGGUGCAAGCGUUAAUCGGAAUUACUGGGCGUAAAGCGUGCGCAGGCGGUUUUGUAAGUUUGUCGUGAAAUCCCCGGGCUUAACCUGGGAAUUGCGAUGAAGACUGCAAGGCUAGAAUCUGGCAGAGGGGGGUAGAAUUCCACGUGUAGCAGUGAAAUGCGUAGAGAUGUGGAGGAACACCGAUGGCGAAGGCAGCCCCCUGGGUCAAGAUUGACGCUCAUGCACGAAAGCGUGGGGAGCAAACAGGAUUAGAUACCCGUGUAGUCCUAGAGC
Molecule: ribosomal RNA, 481 nt
Filed under: uncultured bacterium
Lineage: Bacteria
Description: bacterial SSU rRNA
Rfam family: Bacterial small subunit ribosomal RNA
Source: RNAcentral